This 219-nucleotide long non-coding RNA is filed under the name Ananas comosus (pineapple). RNAcentral's name for it is "long non-coding RNA (ACOM_LNC006214)". Lineage: Eukaryota; Viridiplantae; Streptophyta; Magnoliopsida; Poales; Bromeliaceae. The record is from RNAcentral.
UUUGGGUAUAAUUUUUUAUCAUUUAGGGUGCGUUUGGUUUGCAUUAUGAAAGAUUACUAGGAAUAAAAUAUAUCCGAGAAUCUUAUUCCUAUUCAUUCUAUUACUAAGAAUGUGAAAUUUCUGUGUUUGGUUCGCACGGUAAUAUUAACUAGCCAUAUUAUUUAAUAUUAUAAAAAUUAUACUAUUUAUUUAUUUAUUUAUAUAUAUAUAUAUAUAUAU